This 498-nucleotide ribosomal RNA is filed under the name uncultured bacterium. RNAcentral's name for it is "partial 16S ribosomal RNA". It matches the Rfam family "Bacterial small subunit ribosomal RNA", at positions 28 to 508 of the family's 1533-position model. The record is from RNAcentral.
GAUGAACGCUGGCGGCGUGCCUAAUACAUGCGAGUCGAGCGAACGGACGAGAAGCUUGCUUUUCUGAUGUUAGCGGCGGACGGGUGAGUAACACGUGGAUAACCUACCUAUAAGACUGGGAUAACUUCGGGAAACCGGAGCUAAUACCGGAUAAUAUUUUGAACCGCAUGGUUCAAAAGUGAAAGACGGUCUUGCUAUCACUUAUAGAUGGAUCCGCGCUGCAUUAGCUAGUUGGUAAGGUAACGGCUUACCAAGGCAACGAUGCAUAGCCGACCUGAGAGGGUGAUCGGCCACACUGGAACUGAGACACGGUCCAGACUCCUACGGGAGGCAGCAGUAGGGAAUCUUCCGCAAUGGGCGAAAGCCUGACGGAGCAACGCCGCGGGAGUGAUGAAGGGCUUCGGAUCGUAAAACUCUGUUAUUAGGGAAGAACAUAUGUGUAAGUAACUGUGCACAUCUUGACGGUACCUAAUCAGAAAGCCACGGCUAACUACGUGC